UGCCAGACUCCUACGGGAGGCAGCAGUGGGGAAUAUUGCACAAUGGGGGAAACCCUGAUGCAGCGACGCCGCGUGAGCGAUGAAGUAUUUCGGUAUGUAAAGCUCUAUCAGCAGGGAAGAAGAUGACGGUACCUGACUAAGAAGCCCCGGCUAACUACGUGCCAGCAGCCGCGGUAAUACGUAGGGGGCAAGCGUUAUCCGGAUUUACUAGGUGUAAAGGGAGCGUAGACGGCGAUGCAAGCCAGAUGUGAAAGCCCGGGGCUCAACCCCGGGACUGCAUUUGGAACUGUGUGGCUGGAGUGUCGGAGAGGCAGGCGGAAUUCCUAGUGUAGCGGUGAAAUGCGUAGAUAUUAGGAGGAACACCAGUGGCGAAGGCGGCCUGCUGGACGAUGACUGACGUUGAGGCUCGAAAGCGUGGGGAGCAAACAGGAUUAGAUACCCCCGUAUG
Molecule: ribosomal RNA, 448 nt
Filed under: uncultured bacterium
Lineage: Bacteria
Description: bacterial SSU rRNA
Rfam family: Bacterial small subunit ribosomal RNA
Source: RNAcentral